AAGCGUCCGUAGCCGGCUUGGUAAGUCUUUCGUCAAAUCCGGCGAUUCCAUCGUCGGACCGCGGAAGAUACUUCCAGGCUUGAGGACGGGAGAGGUCGACGGUAGUCCCGGGGUAGGGGUGAAAUCCUAUAAUCCCGGGAGGACCACCAGUGGCGAAGGCGGUCGACUAGAACGUGCCUGACGGUGAUGGACGAAAGCUGGGGGAGCGAACCGGAUUAGACACCCGGGUAGUCCCAGCCGUAAACGAUGCGAGCUAGGUGUUGGAGCAACUACGGGUUGCUCCAGUGCCGCAGAGAAGUUGUUAAGCUCGCCGCCUGGGAAGUACGGCCGCAAGGCUGAAACUUAAAGGAAUUGGCGGGGGAGCACCACAAGGGGUGAAGCCUGCGGUUCAAUUGGAGUCAACGCCGGGAAACUUACCGGGGCUGACAGCAGGGUGAAGGCCAGAUUGAGGGUCUUGCCAGACAAGCUGAGAGGAGGUGCAUGGCCGUCGCCAGUUCGUGCCGUGAGGUGUCCUGUUAAGUCAGGCAACGAACGAGACCCUCACCUCUAGUUGCCAGCGGAUUCCCUUGGAAUGCCGGGCACACUAGAGGGACUGCCGUCGAUAAGGCGGAGGAAG
This 616-nucleotide ribosomal RNA is filed under the name uncultured archaeon. RNAcentral's name for it is "bacterial SSU rRNA". It matches the Rfam family "Archaeal small subunit ribosomal RNA", at positions 513 to 1128 of the family's 1478-position model. The record is from RNAcentral.